GUCCCCUUAGUUUAGUGGUAGAAUAUCUGACUACGAGGUAUUCAACUUGUUAUCAGGGGGUCGCGCGUUCGAGCCGCGCAGGGGAUU
Filobasidium floriforme is the source of this 87-nucleotide non-coding RNA. The record is from the annotation of a RefSeq genome assembly. NCBI's taxonomy places the organism in Eukaryota, Fungi, Basidiomycota, Tremellomycetes, Filobasidiales, Filobasidiaceae.